GACGAACGCUGGCGGCGUGCUUAACACAUGCAAGUCGAACGGAAAGGCCUCUUUCGGGGGGUACUCGAGUGGCGAACGGGUGAGUAACACGUGAGUAACCUGCCCUUGACUUUGGGAUAACUUCAGGAAACUGGGGCUAAUACCGGAUAGGAGCUCCUGCUGCAUGGUGGGGGUUGGAAAGUUUCGGCGGUUGGGGAUGGACUCGCGGCUUGUCAGCUUGUUGGUGGGGUAGUGGCUUACCAAGGCUUUGACGGGUAGCCGGCCUGAGAGGGUGACCGGCCACAUUGGGACUGAGAUACGGCCCAGACUCCUACGGGAGGCAGCAGUGGGGAAUAUUGCACAAUGGGUGGAAGCCUGAUGCAGCAACGCCGUGCGCGGGAUGACGGCCUUCGGGUUGGAAACCGCUUUCGCUCAUGACGAAGCUUUGUGUGACGGUAGUGGGUAAAGAAGCACCGGCUAACUACGUG
Molecule: ribosomal RNA, 467 nt
Filed under: uncultured bacterium
Lineage: Bacteria
Description: partial 16S ribosomal RNA
Rfam family: Bacterial small subunit ribosomal RNA
Source: RNAcentral